GGCUAGCCAGGUUGAAGAGUAUGUAUUAUUAUCACGCGAAAGAAAACCAAGCACCCAAGACACUAAGUUUUAGCCAGUAUGACAUAAAAAAGAUACUCCAUCUUAAUAAAUUGGCUGUAUGUAAUACUUGGAAUUUAUUAUAUCUACUAUGAGUGAAACAUAAUUAUUUAUAUAUAAAAAGAAACAUGCCUCCUCCUCUCAAUCCAUUGAUCUACUGCUAACACAGAUGCGGCAUGAAGAUCAUAAUCAAAUUCAAUUGGCUUAGGAUGGAUCUUCACGGACAUCGAAGGUCAAGAACUCACCAGAGGCUCGAGCGCUCAAUCGCACGUCUUCU
Molecule: long non-coding RNA, 334 nt
Filed under: Brassica rapa (field mustard)
Lineage: Eukaryota; Viridiplantae; Streptophyta; Magnoliopsida; Brassicales; Brassicaceae
Description: long non-coding RNA (BRAP_LNC002632)
Source: RNAcentral